Molecule: ribosomal RNA, 553 nt
Filed under: uncultured Glomus
Lineage: Eukaryota; Fungi; Glomeromycota; Glomeromycetes; Glomerales; Glomeraceae
Description: SSU rRNA
Rfam family: Eukaryotic small subunit ribosomal RNA
Source: RNAcentral
UUGGAGGGCAAGUCUGGUGCCAGCAGCCGCGGUAAUUCCAGCUCCAAUAGCGUAUAUUAAAGUUGUUGCAGUUAAAAAGCUCGUAGUUGAAUUUCGGGAUCAAAUUGUUGGUCGUGCUUCAGUACGCACUGGCAUUAUUGGUUCUUACCUUCUGAAGAACCGCGAUGUCAUUAAUUUGGUGUCGUGGGGAAUCAGGACUGUUACUUCGAAAAAAUUAGAGUGUUUAAAGCAGGCGCACGCUUGAAUACAUUAGCAUGGAAUAAUGAAAUAGGACGUUUGAUUCUAUUUUGUUGGUUUCUAGGAUCGACGUAAUGAUUAAUAGGGAUAGUUGGGGGCAUUAGUAUUCAAUUGUCAGAGGUGAAAUUCUUGGAUUUAUUGAAGACUAACUACUGCGAAAGCAUUUGCCAAGGAUGUUUUCAUUAAUCAAGAACGAAAGUUAGGGGAUCGAAGACGAUCAGAUACCGUCGUAGUCUUAACCAUAGACUAUGCCGACUAGGGAUCGGAUGAUGUUAAUUUUUUAAUGACUCAUUCGGCACCUUACGGGAAACCAAAG